Molecule: ribosomal RNA, 450 nt
Filed under: uncultured bacterium
Lineage: Bacteria
Description: partial 16S ribosomal RNA
Rfam family: Bacterial small subunit ribosomal RNA
Source: RNAcentral
GUGGGGAAUAUUGGACAAUGGGCGAAAGCCUGAUCCAGCCAUGCCGCGUGUGUGAAGAAGGUCUUCGGAUUGUAAAGCACUUUAAGUUGGGAGGAAGGGCAGUAAGUUAAUACCUUGCUGUUUUGACGUUACCAACAGAAUAAGCACCGGCUAACUUCGUGCCAGCAGCCGCGGUAAUACGAAGGGUGCAAGCGUUAAUCGGAAUUACUGGGCGUAAAGCGCGCGUAGGUGGUUUUGUAAGUUGGAGGUGAAAUCCCCGGGCUCAACCUGGGAACUGACUCCAAAACUGGAUGACUAGAGUACGGGAGAGGGUAGUGGAAUUUCCUGUGUAGCGAUGAAAUGCGUAGAUAUAGGAAGGAACACCAGUGGCGAAGGCGACUACCUGGACUGAUACUGACACUGAGGUGCGAAAGCGUGGGGAGCAAACAGGAUUAGAUACCCGAGUAGUCC